This is a long non-coding RNA of Sander lucioperca (pikeperch), 546 nucleotides long. RefSeq lists it as uncharacterized. The record is from RefSeq and is a predicted model, not a curated record. Lineage: Eukaryota; Metazoa; Chordata; Actinopteri; Perciformes; Percidae. The transcript has 2 exons.
AGUAAAGUGUGAGGGUUCUCUGGCUUUAGAUAUUACAAUAAGAACCAGUUAGGAAUCGUCAGUGUUGGAAAACACUCAGGUCGGUUCACCCAUAUUACAAAAAAAACUAUUUCCUUGAAUGCAUUUUAUUGGUAUCUAGACAUGCAUAGUUUAGUUUAGUUUUAUUUGCACAGGUUACUCUGGAUUAGCCAUAAACAUUGGACCUUGAUGGAUUCUCCUGAUUGAUGGGCACACUGUUGCUUUUUUUUUUUUUUUCUUCCUUCUUCUAUCUCAGAAGUUGAAACCCUUUAUUAUCGUCUCCCUGUUGAAUCAGUUGAUCGGUUCUCAAAAUGGAAAGGAAAGCACCACAAUACAGGAUAAAGACAAUGCAACACCAGGGAGGUUUGCGUUUGCAGAUCUUCAGCAUUGGUCCAUAUUUCCAAACCAACUCAAGGGUUUGCCCUUGAUUUUCAAGUUUGUAUGCACCAUCCAUUGGGCAUACUUAAAGUAGACCUCAUGAUGUGGAACUGGGUAAUGGAGUAUUUUUCCCAAUGCUUUGAUUAAAAA